UGGGGAAUAUUGGACAAUGGGCGCAAGCCUGAUCCAGCCAUGCCGCGUGAGUGAUGACGGCCUUAGGGUUGUAAAGCUCUUUCGCUCGGGACGAUAAUGACGGUACCGAGAUGAGAAGCCCCGGCUAACUUCGUGCCAGCAGCCGCGGUAAUACGAAGGGGGCUAGCGUUGUUCGGAAUUACUGGGCGUAAAGCGCGUGUAGGCGGGUCUUUAAGUCAGGGGUGAAAUGCCAAGGCUCAACCUUGGAACUGCCUUUGAUACUGGAGAUCUUGAGUCCGGGAGAGGUGAGUGGAAUUGCGAGUGUAGAGGUGAAAUUCGUAGAUAUUCGCAAGAACACCAGUGGCGAAGGCGGCUCACUGGCCCGGAACUGACGCUGAGACGCGAAAGCGUGGGGAGCAAACAGGAUUAGAUACCCUGGUAGUCCACGCUGUAAACGAUGUGUGCUAGACGUUGGGGAGCCUAGCUCUUCGGUGUCGCCGCUAACGCUGUAAGCACACCGCCUGGGGAGUACGGCCGCAAGG
Molecule: ribosomal RNA, 521 nt
Filed under: uncultured bacterium
Lineage: Bacteria
Description: bacterial SSU rRNA
Rfam family: Bacterial small subunit ribosomal RNA
Source: RNAcentral